GCCUCCGGCCACCUUCACCCCCAAACUCUUCCAAGCCGACCCAGAGCCGGUCGCGGCGCACCACCGCGGAGAAAAUGCGCCCGACGGGGGCCGGAGACGACAGGGGCGGUGGUCGCCGACUAGACGAUCCACACGACACCGAGCCGCCGUACCAUAACCCGCCGGGUUGAGUCCCCCGGGCAGACUGCGCGGACCCCACCCGUUUACCUCUUAACGGUUUCACGCCCUGUUGAACUCUCUCUUCAAAGUUCUUUUCAACUUUCCCUUACGGUACUUGUCGACUAUCGGUCUCGUGCCAGUAUUUAGCCUUAGAUGGAGUUUACCACCCACUUUGGGCUGCAUUCCCAAGCAACCCGACUCCGGGAAGACUGCGCCCCGGCGCGACGGGGGCCGCUACCGGCCUCACACCGUCCCUGGGUUGAGCCUCAAUCAGAAGGACUCGGGCCCCCACGCCGACACCGGGAAAACAAUCUUCCGUACGCCACAUGUCCCGCGCCCGACUGGGCGGGCGGGGAUUCGGCGCUGGGCUUUUCCCUCUUCGCUCGCCGCUACUAGGGGAAUCCUGGUUAGUUUCUUUUCCUCCGCUUACUGAUAUGCUUAAGUUCAGCGGGUUGUCUCGUCUGAUCUGAGGUCGUAUUCGAGAUUGGUUGUGGCGUGGCCUCGACCGCCUUGCGACGGGAGGUCUCACUGGGUGAGAGGUGGCGCCACGGAGCGGACCACCCUCUUCAACCGGUCAUGCCCCUUCGCCAGCCACCGGCUGCCCUCGACAAACGCCCAGACACGGACAGCUUAAGAGGAGACACGGGGUCAUCCACCGGCUGCCACAUCCAGACAAUGUCAUCCUUGGACACCGGGACGGGAGGGGUUCCUGCCGCCGUGAGGCGGAGGAGACUGGGGAGAGAAGAGGGGGCCGACCGCGACACCUUGAACUUCACCUGGUCCCUUACGGACGUCUGAACUUAGGGGGACGAAGGCCUGCGAAAGGCCUGCGACGCCCCAACCGCGGAAGAAAGAGAGGCACUGGAAGACCGUCCCUUGGUUCCGAUUGAUUGCCAACGCGACUCUCAGACAGGCGUAGCCCCGGGAGGAACCCGGGGCCGCAAGGUGCGUUCGAAAGGUCGAUGAUCAAUGUGUCCUGCAAUUCACAUUAGUUCUCGCAGCUAGCUGCGUUCUUCAUCGACGCACGAGCCGAGUGAUCCACCGCUAAGAGUUGUACAUUUUGUUUGAUUUUUUCGGCAAGACGAUGUUCAAGACAAUUUGUAUCGACGGGGCUAACCCACAGGCGCCGCGCCACACCACACCCCGUGGCCCGACGCGGUCAUGAACCCCUCGCCCACCUGCGUGACAGGCGGGAGAGUGUGUUAGGGUACCUGCGAGCGCACAGUGGUUCGGUCAGGUCGACACCGAGCUGCGCUUAGUUUUGUCCGAGCAAAGCGGGGGGCGAGACCCGGUCUCCCAGCUACGGCACUCCAGUUAGGGCCUCCCCAGACGCCUGCACCGCGUGCUCUGUCAGACCUCAGAGAACGCCGCGUCACAGUGCGGUCCGGGGUGGGCUGGUAGGGGGGCUUACGUGGCAGUGCGCAGCCGGUCGGGAUUCACACCCCUCCCAACGAUCGCUGUGUGUGUGUCACUUUAGAUACUGCUUAAUCAUUUGACCAAAGAUAUAACAACAAAAAGGGUUUUUAUUGAUUUCUCUCUCAUAAGCCUGCUCUCUGUUAAAGGUCACUGAGGGUCACACAGACACACACAGAGCUCCCAGCACUGCCCUGUGUAUUGUAUUAAGUCACAGCAAGGCCCAAUGGCUCACACUUAUCUCCCUUUAGGCCCCAGAAGCCUGCCUGCUGUUAAAGGUCACUGAGGGUCCCACAGACACACACAGAGCUCCCAGCACUGCCCUGUGUGUUGUAUUAAGUCACUGACAGGCCCAGAGGCACAGACACCUCCCAAGGUGUUGUCGUCCCUCCUCUAUGCUUGGGGGGAGAUGGGCCUCCCCGGGUCCCCAAGCUUGACGGACAUCCGUUUAGCCGUGGCCACAUACAACUUUGACUCAGAGAUAGGCUUUCCCAAAGAAAGCCAAGAAGAAGAACAACAGUGUGUUGUCAGAGGAGAGAGAAGUCCGGCCAGGUGAGUCUGCUCACCUGAAGAGACAGACUCUGAGGAGGAGCAGCUCUGGACCUCCGGAUUGACCGCACGCUGACCAUCUACGGCAUCAGCCAGGACAACGACGCCAAGGCGUUGUCGCCCGGCGCCAUCCAGGUGUCCUGGAAGGAGCCGGAGCACAACACACAGGACAUCAUCGGCUACGUGCUGCACAUCCGGCGGUCCUCAGAACCGAGAACAGCGCCGGCUCCACGCAGGCCAGCGCCCGCCUCACCGUGCUGUGGGCCGACGGGCUCCCCGGGGCCCCCACACAGGUGCGGGCCCAGGCGUUGUCGCCCGGCGCCAUCCAGGUGUCCUGGAAGGAGCCGGAGCAGAACACACAGGACAUCAUCAGCUACGUGCUGCACAUCCGGCUGUCCUCAGGUGUUGUCGUCCCUCCUCUAAGCUUGGGGGGAGAUGGGCCUCCCCGGGUCCCCAAGCUUGACGGACAUCCGUUUAGCCGUGGCCACAUACAACUUUGACUCAGAGAUAGGCUUUCCCAAAGAAAGCCAAGAAGAAGAACAACAGUGUGUUGUCAGAGGAGAGAGAAGUCCGGCCAGGUGAGUCUGCUCACCUGAAGAGACAGACUCUGAGGAGGAGCAGCUCUGGACCUCCGGAUUGACCGCACGCUGACCAUCUACGGCAUCAGCCAGGACAACGACGCCAAGGCGUUGUCGCCCGGCGCCAUCCAGGUGUCCUGGAAGGAGCCGGAGCACAACACACAGGACAUCAUCGGCUACGUGCUGCACAUCCGGCGGUCCUCAGGUCAGGACCACACACACGCACAUGUGCAUAGCAUAUUAUUAUUAUUAUAACUUUAUUCAAGACACAGGAAGGUCCACAUAGACAGCACACUACAUAUAUAAACACAUAUACAUACACAUAUAUAUCUACGCAUAUGAAUACACACACACUCAUCCCCCACCUAACUUGCAUAGUUUGGUGAGUGUACCAGAACUACAGUAUCCUAAUUAUAUAAGAGGGGACCCCUCGCUCAAGUAGUUUAGCAAACAGUUUCCCAUAUCUGUUGAUAACAUAAUCUGCAAGCCUAUCCAUAAGGAUCCCUUCUAUUACCUUGGACAGUAUACUUGCAAGUGCAAUAGGCCUAUAGUUAUCAAUACUAGUCUUAUUUUGAACUACAGGUAUCAACAAGACAGAUAACAUGGAUCCUGGGAGUAUGCCAUGCUUCAUUAACCCGGAAAAGCAUAGAGCAAGUAUCUCUCUCUCUCUCUCUCUCUCUCUCUCUCUCUCUCUCUCUCUCUCUCUCUCUCUCUCUCUCUCUCUCUCUCUCUCUCUCUCUCUCUCUCUCUCUCUCUCUCUCUCUCUCUCUCUCUCUCUCUCUCUCUCUCUCUCUCUCUCUCUCUCUCUCUCUCUCUCUCUCUCUCUCUCUCUCAAAUAACCACCAGGCAGCACACCGCUUUCAACAGAUAAGAAACAAGCAUUCAACUAACUGUAAGUUAACUACACUACUUGUUUGUCCAGAACCGAGAACAGCGCCGGCUCCACGCAGGCCAGCGCCCGCCUCACCGUGCUGUGGGCCGACGGGCUCCCCGGGGCCCCCACACAGGUGCGGGCCCAGGCGUUGUCGCCCGGCGCCAUCCAGGUGUCCUGGAAGGAGCCGGAGCAGAACACACAGGACAUCAUCAGCUACGUGCUGCACAUCCGGCUGUCCUCAGGUGUUGUCGUCCCUCCUCUAUGCUUGGGGGGAGAUGGGCCUCCCCGGGUCCCCAAGCUUGACGGACAUCCGUUUAGCCGUGGCCACAUACAACUUUGACUCAGAGAUAGGCUUUCCCAAAGAAAGCCAAGAAGAAGAACAACAGUGUGUUGUCAGAGGAGAGAGAAGUCCGGCCAGGUGAGUCUGCUCACCUGAAGAGACAGACUCACCUGUUUUGUUUUAGUUUUAGUUCUAUAUAUUUAUUCAUGUUGUGUUUUAGUUCUAUAUAUUUAUUCAUGUUCCGUGUUUUUGUUAUAUAUAUUUAUUCAUGUUUUGUUUUAGUUGUUUGAAACUUUUCAAUAAAAAAAACAUUUGGAAA
Molecule: non-coding RNA, 4172 nt
Organism: Gadus morhua (Atlantic cod)
Lineage: Eukaryota; Metazoa; Chordata; Actinopteri; Gadiformes; Gadidae
Source: RefSeq, a predicted model, not a curated record